RNAcentral lists this ribosomal RNA (777 nucleotides) under uncultured Neocallimastigales. Its description in RNAcentral is "partial large subunit ribosomal RNA". It matches the Rfam family "Eukaryotic large subunit ribosomal RNA", at positions 24 to 637 of the family's 3401-position model. The record is from RNAcentral. Lineage: Eukaryota; Fungi; Neocallimastigomycota; Neocallimastigomycetes; Neocallimastigales.
GUAGUCUCGCACAGAUGCAUAUCAAUAAGCGGAGGAAAAGAAACUAACAAGGAUUCCCCUAGUAACGGCGAGUGAAGCGGGAAGAGCUCAAAUUUGAAAUCUUAAAGGGUUUCCCUUUACGAAUUGUAUGUUUAAAGAAGUGUUUUCUGUUGAGGUUUUGGUAAAAGUUCUUUGGAAUAGGACAUCAUAGAGGGUGAGAAUCCCGUAUUUGACCUUUACUUUCAACUUUGUGAUAUCACUUUCAAAGAGUCGGAUUGUUUGGGAAUGCAGUCCAAAAUGGGUGGUAAAUUUCAUCUAAAGCUGAAAUAUUGGCGAGAGACCGAUAGCGAACAAGUACCGUGAGGGAAAGAUGAAAAGAACUUUGAAAAGAGAGUUAAACAGUACGUGAAAUUGUCAAAAGGGAAGCGUUUGACACCAGUGUUGUUUUUCUGAAAAUCAAUUAAAGAACUGUUUACGCUAAGUUGUUUAGACUUUAUCAGCUAACUGUUUAGUUUUGAGCUUUUCUUUAAUGCACUUUUCAGUUAACAAGUCAACAUCAAUUUCUUUUGCUGUAAAAAAGCUUGAGGAAGGUGGCUUGAGAUUCGUCUUAAGUGUUUAUAGCCUCUUGCCUAUGCAGUCGGAGAGAUUGAGGUCUGCAGCGUAGAUCCUUCGGGGCUAAAUGCAUUUGUGCUAAGUUAUAGCAUUUUAUAGACAACUUGUUGACUAUGAUUUGUCUUGUAGCUUACUCGCUUAUGUUAUUUUACCUACGCUUAGGAUGUUGACAGCAGUAUAGACUGU